UUCCGGUUGAUCCCGCCGGAGGACAUUGCUAUUGGGAUUCGAUUUAGCCAUGCUAGUCGAGCGAGUUCAGACUCGCGGCGAAUAGCUCAGUAACACGUGGCCAAGCUCCCCUUCAGUCAGCGAUACCCUCGGGAAACUGAGGUUAACAGCUGAUACAAAACGCCAGCUGGAAUGCGGCGUUUCAGAAAGACAUCGCUGAAGGAUGCGGCUGCGGCCGAUUAGGUAGACGGUGGGGUAACGGCCCACCGUGCCAGUAAUCGGUACGGGUGAUGAGAGUCAGAGCCCGGAGACGGAAUCUGAGACAAGAUUCCGGGCCCUACGGGGCGCAGCAGGCGCGAAACCUUUACACUGCACGGAAGUGCGAUAGGGGAAUCCCAAGUGCGAGGGCAUAUUAGCCCUCGCUUUUCUCGACUGUAAGGUGGUCGACGAAUAAGAGCUGGGCAAGACCGGUGCCAGCCGCCGCGGUAAUACCGGCAGCUCAAGUGAUGUCCCAUAUUAUUGGGCCUAAAGCGUCCGUAGCUGGCCGACCAAGUCUACCGGGAAAUCCACCCGCCCAACGGGUGGGCGUCCGGUAGAAACUGGCCGGCUUGGAACCGGAAGGCUCAGAGAGUACGUCCGGGGUAGGAGUGAAAUCCCGUAAUCCCGGACGGACUACCGAUGGCGAAAGCACUCUGAGAAGACGGCUUCGACAGUGAGGGACGAAAGCUCGGGUCUCAAACCGGAUUAGAUACCCCGGUAGUC
Molecule: ribosomal RNA, 741 nt
Filed under: uncultured archaeon
Lineage: Archaea
Description: bacterial SSU rRNA
Rfam family: Archaeal small subunit ribosomal RNA
Source: RNAcentral